UGGAAAGUUGCGGCGUAAACCUAAAUUA
RNAcentral lists this non-coding RNA (28 nucleotides) under Bombyx mori (domestic silkworm). Lineage: Eukaryota; Metazoa; Arthropoda; Insecta; Lepidoptera; Bombycidae. The record is from RNAcentral.